GGCAGCAUGCCAGAGUGAUUAAUGGGUGGGAUUUGGGUCAGCGAUUGUUCGCCAUCCCAUGGGUUCGCCCACAGGUUCGAACCCUGCUGCUGUCG
Molecule: transfer RNA, 95 nt
Filed under: Verticillium dahliae
Lineage: Eukaryota; Fungi; Ascomycota; Sordariomycetes; Glomerellales; Plectosphaerellaceae
Also listed under: 3 other names
Description: tRNA-Pro
Source: RNAcentral